Molecule: long non-coding RNA, 1646 nt
Organism: Pseudoliparis swirei
Lineage: Eukaryota; Metazoa; Chordata; Actinopteri; Perciformes; Liparidae
Exons: 3
Source: RefSeq, a predicted model, not a curated record
UUCAGUGUUCUGAUGGUACAUUGUGUUAUCGCCUUAGAAGACUAACGGAGGGGUAGAAAACCCUCGAAAACCCUUUUUAUGUGAGCGCAGCUGAAAACAGUUAUGCUGGUGAGAGAAGCUAUACAACUGGCCUUCCUUUGAGCCACAAUAAGAACUACAUGAACAUGUAUCGGAGGAAGAUGUGAACUGGAUGUCGUUGUGGUUCCAGUCCAUGAGAGGUUUGUGUCAGGAGGAGGACUACGCCUUCCUGGGAACGCCGGAAAAGACAACGGCAGGAACGCCCGAAGGAGCUUCUGAGGACGACCGGAGAGACAGGAAGGAGGAUCGGGUGAGAGGCGAGGAAGGUCGGCAUGGAGGGAGAUUUUUAUUAUCACGCAAACAACAACAAAAAAGGAUGACAACUUAGUUCCGUGUCCUCCUCACCGCGACCUCCCGUUAGCGCAGCGAUUCAAACCCACCAAUAGAAACGCCUCGCUCAUUCAGCAGCGCAAGCCCCGCCCACUACGUCCAAACUCAACUCGUAGAUUUUCGUUUUGUGAGCGACAUUUUUGUUUUUUAUCGCGAAGAUUUUUUUUUGUUUGCAAGUUUUUUCUUUUUAGAGCAAAGCUUUUCUAAUAUGCAGCAAGAAAUAAUAUUUUCAUGAGAAAAAAUAACAAACGAGAAAUUUGCUCUCGAAACCUUUUGUGUUGUUUGCGUAAUAAAUACACAAAUCUACCUUCAUAGGUCUUUAAAUAUAUAAAUAAACCCACUAAUUGAUACACACACACACAUGAUUUGUGUUUUGUUUUUGUGUGUGUGUGUGCGUGUUUGUGUGUGUGUGUGUGUGUGUGUUUCAGGUCCGCCGGCGGCUGCAGAGGGAGCAUGUGGAACAAGAGAGACUCAGAGAAAUGGAGGAGAUCAAGAAGGAGCAGCAGCAGCAGUGGAGGAGUCACAUCUUCACGCUGAGCUGCAGACAAGAGAAGAGAGUCCAGGAGCGGCUGGAGCGACUCCGAGGAUUCAGGGAGUUCCAGAGGAAGGUGCUGGCCGAGGAGGAGGAGUCAGGGGUGGAGGGGGCGGAGCUCCGUGCUGACGCCUUCAGAUGAACUCAGCAGAAACACGGCGUUGUUUUGUUUUGCUACUUUUAUUUAACAAGUUCCCGGUUCACACACACAUACGUGGUGUCGUCUCCAGCCUGCUGACCGCUCCGUCACACACACACACACACACACACACACACACACACACACACACACACACACACACACACACACAAUACAACAUGUUCAGAUCGUGGUUGAAGGAAUCUUUUUUUGUUUGGGUUUGCAGUUUUCGAGCAGAGGCCUAAAAACGGUGCUUAACCUCCUGUUAGCUUCACAUGCACCAACAUCUUUGACCCUCGGGGUCAAGUUGACCCCAGCAAUUUAAACCUCCAGAAAAUGAUUAGAAUUUAUAUUGUUUCCCAAGUUUAAGUGUGAGGUAUGUUUAUUUGUUUGUUGACUACAUAAAUAGUUCUUUAAGUAAAUACAAAAGUUGAUAUUUCUUAUAUGUUUUACACAGUGAAAAACAGCCUGGGGUCAAACUGACCCCAAAGAACACCGAUGCGUACAAGUUGUGUAGAGUAAAAACAUGUAAUCAUGUGUAUUUUGUGUUUACCCAGUUUUCCCCAA